AUUGAACGCUGGCGGCAUGCCUAACACAUGCAAGUCGAACGAGUGGCGGACGGGUGGGUAAUUUCUGAGAAACUGCCUGAUGUAGGGGGAUAACUACUGUAAACGGUAGCUAAUACCGCAUACCAUCAGAUUUGCCCAGAUGGGAUUAGCUUGUUGGUGGGGUAACGGCUCACCAAGGCGACGAGCCCUAGCUGGGCUGAGAGGAUGACCAGCCACACUGGGACUGAGACACGGUCCAGACUCCUACGGGAGGCAGCAGUGGGGAAUAUUGCGCAAUGGGCGAAAGCCUGAUGCAGCCAUGCCGCGUGUAUGAAGAAGGCCUUCGGGUUGUAAAGUACUGUCAGUGGGGAGGCGUUACCCAAAGAAGAAGCACCGGCUAACUCCGUGCCAGCAGCCGCGGUAAUAC
RNAcentral lists this ribosomal RNA (406 nucleotides) under uncultured bacterium. RNAcentral describes it as "partial 16S ribosomal RNA". It matches the Rfam family "Bacterial small subunit ribosomal RNA", at positions 30 to 526 of the family's 1533-position model. The record is from RNAcentral.